UCAACGGGGAUAUGUUUCAGCGGAGCUUUUUGCAGUGGGCUUUUGUUAACCACUCGCUGGAGAGGAUGGCAGGGUUUAACUCCUUCCAGUGCCCUGCCUGCAGUCCUCAUAUGACGGCUGUUGCAAUUGAUGGAAACAGGAAGCUGUACCGUUUCCGAAAACAAGAAGGAUCAAGUGGGGAGGAAUGAAUCAGACUGGUGCGGGAAAGACUCUGGGAGAGGAGGUAGAGCAGGUUAAUUCCUACAUGUCAAGGGUUGGUUCUACCAGCAAACACAUGACUAAAGCAGCACGGGUGGAUAUGAUCACUGUCCAGGCUUUGGAGUGGAACCGAAGGAAAAGAGAUCAUCUCCACCGGUAUCUCUCACAACGUUAC
Alosa sapidissima (American shad) is the source of this 373-nucleotide long non-coding RNA. RefSeq lists it as uncharacterized. The transcript has 3 exons. The record is from RefSeq and is a predicted model, not a curated record. Lineage: Eukaryota; Metazoa; Chordata; Actinopteri; Clupeiformes; Clupeidae.